UGCUGUAACUGCUUUGUGUUGGAGCCUGUUAUAUUAACGUCACAUAUGCUUGAACAGAAGUUUGUCCUUAUCCAGAUCUACCUCCAGUCUUCCACGCAAUAGCCUCAACAAAAACUUGACUCGGAAGGAAUCUGAACCAAACGUCUACAUAGGAUAUUUGAGAUCAGAUGGAUGGCUACAUGGAAAACUCAAAGAUCAUAUAUAGUCUGAGGUUGUUCAUGUUGCUUUAAACAUUCAUGAAUGACCAUAACAAGACAAGAUCAAGCCUCAAUGAAUUAUACAUUUUGCAGAUUUGCAAAAAGAGGAAAACCAUCCUACAUACUUUGAAUAGACAAUGUGGUUCUUGAAACUUACAGUUAUGGCAAAGUGGAGAAUCACCCAUAUGACACCUAAUGAUGUCACCAAGAGAUCAUAACGAUUUCUUCUACUCUGCCAAAAUCCAGCAGGUGACAUGGCAGUAAUUUUCAUUGUAACCUUGCAAAAAUAAAUGUGUAUGUAAGAG
This is a long non-coding RNA of Protobothrops mucrosquamatus (brown spotted pit viper), 502 nucleotides long. RefSeq lists it as uncharacterized. The record is from RefSeq and is a predicted model, not a curated record. The transcript has 4 exons. Lineage: Eukaryota; Metazoa; Chordata; Lepidosauria; Squamata; Viperidae.